Molecule: non-coding RNA, 2114 nt
Organism: Drosophila suzukii
Lineage: Eukaryota; Metazoa; Arthropoda; Insecta; Diptera; Drosophilidae
Source: RefSeq, a predicted model, not a curated record
GACUAGACGCUGGAACUAAUAGUGAUUGGCAAAGACGUGGUCGAGAGUCCCUUUAAACGUAAUUUCAUGGAGCUUACUUUGAUCCAUAACUCCAAGUCCAUACCAAGCGUGUCACGUUAUCCUCUCUAUUAUAGGAAAACCGAAGGGGUAAAGGGUUUAUUAGCAUGCCGCUGACUGAUGGAAAUUAAUAGUGGUUCCCCUUCCAAACUCCUUCCUAUCCUGAGGAUGUGCGCUUGACUGAAGGCCGGCAAUUAAGGGAAAAAUUGUUGGGGGACAGGAUUACCCCCAAGGUACGAGUGCCUUGCAAAUGAAAUCAGUUAUUAAUAGUUGCGAACAGAGCACUGAUUGAAGGGCCAAGUGAGAAGCUCCAUAAACAAUUAAGCCAAGGGGAGCCCCCACAAGGCCCUGAAUGCUCGUAGGCCAAGACCACGCACGUAGUGCGGGAAAUCAAACUGAAGUGCCGGGUGAUGGUGAAUCCUUAUCGGGCAAUGGGAGACCGAAGGAGAGGUAUUUCGAUAAGGGCAAGUCCAGGGCUGAGGACGUUUAUCGGCGAAACAAUUCCACUACCAAAUCUAAUCAGUCUUAAUUGAGCGUCACAUUAAACCCUGAAAACCCUAAAUCGUCAAGCAAACUGAAAAGAAAAACAGAUAAAAGACCAAAACCCAAGUAGCUUCCCCUAUCGCAGGCCUUGUUAUUAAUUAAGAUUAAGUCAGGGGAGGUCUGGCUUAGGGGUUAUCUUCGAGGAUAACCGCAGAACAGACUCCCUAAGGGACAUCUCGAAUCUAUCGCUCCUCGCUCGCUGAUUAAGUGGGCGCCCCACCGUUCCCGUCUAGACAGCACAGAACACAUCCCUGCUUCGACACUUCAUUUUUGAAUGCCACAAGUGGGUCUGGCCAGGAAUAGCUGGGAAAUUGAUGAGAAUUAAUGUCCGCGUGUGGCGUCAACGGUUUCCAUUUCUAGGGAAGGCGGCUGAUGUUGAUUGAGUGACUCUUGGGCCUCUGAUGAAAAUAUAUGGCAGCAUAAAUCUAUUGAUCAGCAUUCGCUCGCAGUUGUCGCGGCUCUUAAAUCAUUCCUCUCAUCUAAAAGCAAGAAACCAGUUGAAAUAACUUGCCAUCCACACUUCAAUCAAUUGGAAUGUUUUAAGUACGCCUAAAUGAACUCAAAUGGAUCUGUAAUGAUAGUUCAUUCCAGAGCGAACCAUUGGACUUUAUAUCUGAGGAGUGUACAGUGCUGGGAAAAUGUUACAAAAUGUUUGCGUCCAGAUCUUGGGUUUAGAUUAACUAAAACAAACAAACAUUCAUAACAACUCCUACUGUCACAAAGGAGCGUCGUUUUUACAAAAAUAAGCCUUUUGUCUUUUUUUAGAACAUAUUGGAAACUAUCAAUCAACAUAAGUUGAUACUGUUAAGUGCAACCUGAAUAAAUCCGUUUGUUAAAGAUUACAUUUUCAGUUGAGUUCCAGAGCCUCAAUCUUAUCUCACUUGAUUCCAAUCUAAUCAAAGGCUCCUUUAACUAAGAACCAAAAUAUCUGGAGGGAAUCACUCGUAGAUUGUUUACCACGGUGAGCUCAUGUUGUUUUCGACCGAACACUUUAGAGGCUUUAAGCACAGGCAGGCAUCAUCGACUGAGUUAUCACGACAUUGCGAUAUCUCACCUGCGCCGUAAACUGGCACAUCAAACGGUGUUGCUAGAGAGCCCAACUGUCACAACAGCAGAUGAGCCGUGCAGAUAGCUUCCUCGCCAGCUCCAGGAUGGCUCAAUCUGCGACGCAUAAAGUGCGGCAGUUUAUGAUUGGGCUUAUCGCGAGGGUCUACUAACCGAUUUAAUGAGGAUGCGCCGCGAGACAGGCACAUCGUAGUCUAGGUCCGCAUUGGUGGCAUUCGAACUGCAGCAGGAGGUGGACACCGACACGGAGGAGCUUGUCAUCUUGUCCAGCAUCUUCGGUUAUGUGAUCUGUGAUCCGCGAUCUGGGUUGACUUGAGCUGGAGCAGUCGCAGCUUAGCUCGACAUGUUGACGGCCACAAUCGAGAUGUUUUUAGAUAUAUUUAAUCCAGGACAAUAUAAAUAAAGUAUCUCGACGUGGGUUCGCGGAGUAUCUCGCCACUUUUAUCUCA